This 111-nucleotide ribosomal RNA is filed under the name Caerostris darwini. The record is from RNAcentral. Lineage: Eukaryota; Metazoa; Arthropoda; Arachnida; Araneae; Araneidae.
AACGGCCGUACCAUGCUGAAUAUACCGGUUCUCGUUAGAUCACCGAAGUUAAGCAUCAUUGAGCGCGGUCAGUACUUGGGUGGGUGACCACCUGGGAACACUGCGUGCCGU